UUAAGCGACUAAGCGUACACGGUGGAUGCCCUGGCAGUCAGAGGCGAUGAAGGACGUGCUAAUCUGCGAUAAGCGUCGGUAAGGUGAUAUGAACCGUUAUAACCGGCGAUUUCCGAAUGGGGAAACCCAGUGUGUUUCGACACACUAUCAUUAACUGAAUCCAUAGGUUAAUGAGGCGAACCGGGGGAACUGAAACAUCUAAGUACCCCGAGGAAAAGAAAUCAACCGAGAUUCCCCCAGUAGCGGCGAGCGAACGGGGAGCAGCCCAGAGCCUGAAUCAGUGUGUGUGUUAGUGGAAGCGUCUGGAAAGGCGCGCGAUACAGGGUGACAGCCCCGUACACAAAAAUGCACAUGCUGUGAGCUCGAUGAGUAGGGCGGGACACGUGGUAUCCUGUCUGAAUAUGGGGGGACCAUCCUCCAAGGCUAAAUACUCCUGACUGACCGAUAGUGAACCAGUACCGUGAGGGAAAGGCGAAAAGAACCCCGGCGAGGGGAGUGAAAAAGAACCUGAAACCGUGUACGUACAAGCAGUGGGAGCACGCUUAGGCGUGUGACUGCGUACCUUUUGUAUAAUGGGUCAGCGACUUAUAUUCUGUAGCAAGGUUAACCGAAUAGGGGAGCCGAAGGGAAACCGAGUCUUAACUGGGCGUUAAGUUGCAGGGUAUAGACCCGAAACCCGGUGAUCUAGCCAUGGGCAGGUUGAAGGUUGGGUAACACUAACUGGAGGACCGAACCGACUAAUGUUGAAAAAUUAGCGGAUGACUUGUGGCUGGGGGUGAAAGGCCAAUCAAACCGGGAGAUAGCUGGUUCUCCCCGAAAGCUAUUUAGGUAGCGCCUCGUGAAUUCAUCUCCGGGGGUAGAGCACUGUUUCGGCAAGGGGGUCAUCCCGACUUACCAACCCGAUGCAAACUGCGAAUACCGGAGAAUGUUAUCACGGGAGACACACGGCGGGUGCUAACGUCCGUCGUGAAGAGGGAAACAACCCAGACCGCCAGCUAAGGUCCCAAAGUCAUGGUUAAGUGGGAAACGAUGUGGGAAGGCCCAGACAGCCAGGAUGUUGGCUUAGAAGCAGCCAUCAUUUAAAGAAAGCGUAAUAGCUCACUGGUCGAGUCGGCCUGCGCGGAAGAUGUAACGGGGCUAAACCAUGCACCGAAGCUGCGGCAGCGACGCUUAUGCGUUGUUGGGUAGGGGAGCGUUCUGUAAGCCUGCGAAGGUGUGCUGUGAGGCAUGCUGGAGGUAUCAGAAGUGCGAAUGCUGACAUAAGUAACGAUAAAGCGGGUGAAAAGCCCGCUCGCCGGAAGACCAAGGGUUCCUGUCCAACGUUAAUCGGGGCAGGGUGAGUCGACCCCUAAGGCGAGGCCGAAAGGCGUAGUCGAUGGGAAACAGGUUAAUAUUCCUGUACUUGGUGUUACUGCGAAGGGGGGACGGAGAAGGCUAUGUUGGCCGGGCGACGGUUGUCCCGGUUUAAGCGUGUAGGCUGGUUUUCCAGGCAAAUCCGGAAAAUCAAGGCUGAGGCGUGAUGACGAGGCACUACGGUGCUGAAGCAACAAAUGCCCUGCUUCCAGGAAAAGCCUCUAAGCAUCAGGUAACAUCAAAUCGUACCCCAAACCGACACAGGUGGUCAGGUAGAGAAUACCAAGGCGCUUGAGAGAACUCGGGUGAAGGAACUAGGCAAAAUGGUGCCGUAACUUCGGGAGAAGGCACGCUGAUAUGUAGGUGAGGUCCCUCGCGGAUGGAGCUGAAAUCAGUCGAAGAUACCAGCUGGCUGCAACUGUUUAUUAAAAACACAGCACUGUGCAAACACGAAAGUGGACGUAUACGGUGUGACGCCUGCCCGGUGCCGGAAGGUUAAUUGAUGGGGUUAGCGCAAGCGAAGCUCUUGAUCGAAGCCCCGGUAAACGGCGGCCGUAACUAUAACGGUCCUAAGGUAGCGAAAUUCCUUGUCGGGUAAGUUCCGACCUGCACGAAUGGCGUAAUGAUGGCCAGGCUGUCUCCACCCGAGACUCAGUGAAAUUGAACUCGCUGUGAAGAUGCAGUGUACCCGCGGCAAGACGGAAAGACCCCGUGAACCUUUACUAUAGCUUGACACUGAACAUUGAGCCUUGAUGUGUAGGAUAGGUGGGAGGCUUAGAAGUGUGGACGCCAGUCUGCAUGGAGCCGACCUUGAAAUACCACCCUUUAAUGUUUGAUGUUCUAACGUUGACCCGUAAUCCGGGUUGCGGACAGUGUCUGGUGGGUAGUUUGACUGGGGCGGUCUCCUCCUAAAGAGUAACGGAGGAGCACGAAGGUUGGCUAAUCCUGGUCGGACAUCAGGAGGUUAGUGCAAUGGCAUAAGCCAGCUUGACUGCGAGCGUGACGGCGCGAGCAGGUGCGAAAGCAGGUCAUAGUGAUCCGGUGGUUCUGAAUGGAAGGGCCAUCGCUCAACGGAUAAAAGGUACUCCGGGGAUAACAGGCUGAUACCGCCCAAGAGUUCAUAUCGACGGCGGUGUUUGGCACCUCGAUGUCGGCUCAUCACAUCCUGGGGCUGAAGUAGGUCCCAAGGGUAUGGCUGUUCGCCAUUUAAAGUGGUACGCGAGCUGGGUUUAGAACGUCGUGAGACAGUUCGGUCCCUAUCUGCCGUGGGCGCUGGAGAACUGAGGGGGGCUGCUCCUAGUACGAGAGGACCGGAGUGGACGCAUCACUGGUGUUCGGGUUGUCAUGCCAAUGGCACUGCCCGGUAGCUAAAUGCGGAAGAGAUAAGUGCUGAAAGCAUCUAAGCACGAAACUUGCCCCGAGAUGAGUUCUCCCUGAC
RNAcentral lists this ribosomal RNA (2791 nucleotides) under Escherichia coli O32:H37 str. P4. RNAcentral describes it as "bacterial LSU rRNA". It matches the Rfam family "Bacterial large subunit ribosomal RNA". Lineage: Bacteria; Pseudomonadati; Pseudomonadota; Gammaproteobacteria; Enterobacterales; Enterobacteriaceae. The record is from RNAcentral.